Molecule: ribosomal RNA, 424 nt
Filed under: uncultured bacterium
Lineage: Bacteria
Description: bacterial SSU rRNA
Rfam family: Bacterial small subunit ribosomal RNA
Source: RNAcentral
UGAGGAAUAUUGGUUAAUGGGCGCAAGCCUGAACCAGCCAUCCCGCGUGCAGGAAGACGGCCCUAUGGGUUGUAAACUGCUUUUCCAGGGGGAGAAUUUUUCUGUCGUGACAGGAAUUGACGGUACCAUGGGAAUAGGCAUCGGCUAACUCCGUGCCAGCAGCCGCGGUAAUACGGAGGAUGCGAGCGUUAUCCGGAUUUAUUGGGUUUAAAGGGUGCGUAGGCGGAUUGAUAAGUCAGUGGUGAAAACCUGCAGCUUAACUGUAGACUUGCCGUUGAUACUGUCAGUCUUGAGUGUGGUCAAGGUAGGCGGAAUGUGUAAUGUAGCGGUGAAAUGCUUAGAUAUUACACAGAACACCGAUUGCGAAGGCAGCUUACUGGGCCAUUACUGACGCUGAGGCACGAAAGCGUGGGGAUCGAACAGG